RNAcentral lists this ribosomal RNA (492 nucleotides) under uncultured bacterium. Its description in RNAcentral is "partial 16S ribosomal RNA". It matches the Rfam family "Bacterial small subunit ribosomal RNA", at positions 29 to 507 of the family's 1533-position model. The record is from RNAcentral.
AGUGAACGCUGGCGGUAGGCCUAACACAUGCAAGUCGAACGGCAGCACAGUAAGAGCUUGCUCUUACGGGUGGCGAGUGGCGGACGGGUGAGGCAUACAUCGGAAUCUACUUUUUCGUGGGGGAUAACGUAGGGAAACUUACGCUAAUACCGCAUACGACCUACGGGUGAAAGCAGGGGAUCUUCGGACCUUGCGCGAUUGAAUGAGCCGAUGUCGGAUUAGCUAGUUGGCUGGGUAAAGGCCCACCAAGGCGACGAUCCGUAGCUGGUCUGAGAGGAUGAUCAGCCACACUGGAACUGAGACACGGUCCAGACUCCUACGGGAGGCAGCAGUGGGGAAUAUUGGACAAUGGGCGCAAGCCUGAUCCAGCCAUACCGCGUGGGUGAAGAAGGCCUUCGGGUUGUAAAGCCCUUUUGUUGGGAAAGAAAAGCAGCAGGUUAAUACCCCGCUGUUCUGACGGUACCCAAAGAAUAAGCACCGGCUAACUUCGUG